Long non-coding RNA from Cyprinus carpio carpio, 5907 nucleotides. Lineage: Eukaryota; Metazoa; Chordata; Actinopteri; Cypriniformes; Cyprinidae. The record is from Ensembl.
AUUUAUAUUGUCGAUUUUUUAAUUUAUUUUUUUCAGACAAAAAAUGUAAUUGACCCAUUAAUUAAUUUUUUUUAGAAUGCAUUAUGUUUCAUGCGACUACCAAGCACAAAAGUCACAUUAAAUUUUGUCAUUUAUUACAAACAGCCAGACAGCAAGUACAAAAAUGAGUGUGACACAAUCACAUUACUUGAAAGCAAACAUUUUGUUAAUGUAUAGCAUUUUUUUUCUCUUAAAAAACCAAACACUGCAGACAAUAAGGAGGGUCAGAGGAAAGGAAAAAAGUAGCAUACACAGUUACAGAUGUUAAAGACAAAGUGAUAAUAUUAAACAGCACAGAACAAUCACCUUCCACAACAGCAAAAAUUUACAAACUCCAUAACAAGGGUGUGAUGGACCACUGAUUUCCCCACUGUGAUUGGUAGGUAAAAUAAACAUAUCAUUUUCAGUAAUAUAAAUAUAUUAUAAUAAUAAUAUAUGCUGCUGAAAAGGGAGUUUAAAGGAAUAGUUCACCAUAAAAUUAAAAUUUGCUGAAAAUGUAUUCACCCUCAGGCCAUGCAAAAUGUAGAUGAAAUUGAUUCUUCAUCAGAAACGAUUUGAAGAAAUUUUGCAUUAUAUCUAUUUGCUCAUCAGUGAAUCCUUUGCUAUGAAUGGGGGCCAUCAGAAUGAGUCCAAACGGGAUAAAAACUUCACAAUAAUCCAUUAUUGAGGUGUUUAACCUUAAACCUUCACUUCUGGCCAGAACGUGUGUCCAUAAUCCAUAAUAACUCUGGAAAAAAGUGGAAAAGUUCAGAACUGUUUUUGCUUGUAAACAUUGCUUGAUAAUUUGACGAUUUAAUUUGGAAAAACAGAUAACUCUGUUUUUAACAAUUUUCUAAAUUUUAUUUUUUUCAUUGUGUAUUCCAAUUAAUCUCAAUCAAAUUGCAGUCAGGUUAUUUUGAUUAGGUUAAAAAAUAACUAAAAAAUAAAACUAACAAUAAAACAAACAUGAUAAAAAAAAACAUGAUUUAGAGUUAUGUUUUUGCAAAUAAACUCUUCAUUUCAUUCCUGAUUCAGUCGAGACAACAUUUUCACUGAAGAAAGCAAUAUAAUGGAUAGAGGACUAUAGGUAUUUUACCUGGAAGAAGCGGUCUGAGGUUAAAAUAUCUAAAUUAUGAAUUUAUUACAAACACCAGAUUUUCACUUCACAAGAUGUUAAUUGAUGGACUUAAGUCCUGUGAAUUACUUGUAGAUUAUCGUGAUGCUUUUAUCAGCUGUUUGGACUCUCAUUCUGAGGGCACUAAUACUGCAGAGGAUCCAUUGAUGAACAACUAAUAUAAUGCUACAUUUCUCUAAAUCUGUUCUGAUGAAGAAACAAACUCCUCUACUCAUCCUGAGGGAGAGGUCAUUUUCAGCAAAUUUGGGUGAACUAUUAUUAAAAAACAAACCUAAGAUGGUUUGCUGGUCUUACCUGCUUUAAGCUGGUCUUCCAGCUUGGUCAAGCCAUUUGGUCUCCCAGUUUGACCAUACAAAUGCCCCUCUAAAACCAGCAACGCAGACCAGGUUUUUUUUUUCUUUUUCUCUCUCUCUUUUUUCUCUCAGCAGGGUUAUCAACAACAUAAUUUUUAAAACUUACAAAAGAUUUUUUUCAUAACACAACACUGUGAAGCAGAACUGCUGAUGUAGACAGAUACUCCAUGGGUGUUUUCUCACAUAGUUUUUCUUACAGCCAUUGUAAUUCCACAGAACAGCAGUGAAGUAGUCGUUGCGAGCUGUGAGCAGAGACUUAGGUGGGAGCACAGUACAUAUGGCAAUGCCAUCUGUUCAAUGAAGGGCAUCAGCAUAUUCUGGAAGAAAUUGUUUUGCAGGAAAAUCUAUGCAUUUGGUUAAAAAAAAAAAAAAAAAAAAACAAGUGACGAGUUGUCUGAACUGCUUCAACAAAGUUUGAGAUGCACUACAGAAUGUCAAGUGAACAUCAUUGACAUAGCGCUACCCACUGGCAUUUAGCCAUAGGGGUCUUACAGGACUUUCAGAAUUACAGAAGAUAUAAGAAAAUGGGAAAAGAACAAAGAUAUGUUGAAAUGAGGAGAUAUAUGCUAGACUUUAUGUCUAUGAUGGUCUUAAAGCUAAUUUCCCCUCACUAGUCCCAAGGCUCAUUUAGAUUUUAAUGAGGACUUUAACCAUUGUUCAUAAUUACUUCCACUUCUCAAAUGCAACCACAUCUGGAAACAACAGAGCAAUGAACCAACCAAUAAGACAAAGGCAUCAUUAAUACAUAUCACCAAUUAUUAAUCUGUACUGUUAUGUCAUUUUGCAACCUGGACUGUCAGAAUUCUGUCAGAAAACAACUUGCUUUAUAAUAAUUUAAUUUAAUUACAAAUGCAGUGAAAACAGUAAUAUUGUGCACUAUUAUUACAAUUGGAAAUAACUUUUUUCUAGUUUACUAUAUUUUAAAAUUUAUUUCUGUUAUGGACAAGCAUCCAGUUCUUUGAUUUAAGCAUCCAUUACUCCAGUCUUCACAUGAUCCUUUAGAAAUCAUUCUAAUAUGCUGAUUUGAUGCUCAAGAAACAUUUAUUAUUAUUAUUAUUAUUAUUAUUAUUAUUAUUAUUAUCAAUUUUACAAACAGUUUUUGUUGCUUAAUAUUUUUGCGGUAACCAUGAUACUGUCAGACUCUGCUCCGUGUUUUGAGUGUUUUGCUCCUCAUGUGCCUUUCUUGCCCUUAUUUGGUCCUUACUGUUCCUGUCCUUAUCAUUUCAUUAUUAGAUUAUUAAGUUCCAGCUCUGUGUUAUUAAUGAUCUCGUUUAGUCCUUCUGUUUAAGCCCUGUGUUUCCCUGUCUCUAGCGUCUGCUGUUAAAUGUCAUCUCCCCCUACACUCUGUAUGAUUUUCUCGUUGUGAUUCCUAUGAAUGAUUAAAGACUGUAAUAUAGUAACUCUCCUGCGCCUCUUCGUUCCUUGCUCCUGUGAAUCAUGACAGAACAGCAGACCAAGACAGAUGAUGGCUGAGGACAGGCUGUGGGGUUUGCGGCGGGCUGGUCGGAGGUUGGAAUGGUAUGUGGAGGAUUUCCUCGAGCUUGCUAAACAGCUGAGCUGGCACGAUGCCACUCUUGGUGCAUGCUUUCAGCUGGGGCUGGAUGAUGAGACAAUCCGCUGUGAUCUCCCCGUGUGUAAUUAUCCUCUGAUCGAGCUGAUAAAUCUUGUUCUUUAUUUAAAUGGCUCCAAUUAUGAAAUUGAAGAAAUAGAGGAAAAGUUUCAGUCUUGUCAUCCAGUCCAGUCUAAGGCACGCUGCGUCUCGCCAGCUCACUCCACGCCGGGAACCCCCACAUACCGCACCAACGGUUCGAACCGCCUGCUAAGCCCCAAAUACCCCUGAAUUAUCCGAAGCUCCACAAUAGUCCUCAGCUCAGAAAUGCCAAGCGUCCACGAGUCAAGUCAACCAGCCAUUCCCGAGUCAAGUUUGCAGACCGCGGCUCACUUAAGCCUACUGUCAUCCGUGGCACACUCAAGUUCACCGGCCAUUCAUGUGACAAGCCUACCGAAAAUUAAUAUGGCAAAACAGCCGACGGUUCGUGUGGCAAGCCUGCCAGCCCCAAAGCUCACUCCAGUGCCAGCUCCUAGAAAGCACCUUGCUGUGCCUGCUCCUCCAGAGCGCCCUCCAGUCCCAGCACCUCGUAGGCACGUCCCUGACCCCCAGGUAAGCCCGGUGAACUUGCUCCAGUGUCGGCUCCAGCCCCAAAACUCACUUCAGUGCCAGCACCACGUAAGCGCAAUCCUGAUCCCCUGUUAAACCCAGGGAGGGCUCCUGAUCCCCGUUAAGCCCAGGGAGGGCUCCUGAUCCCCCGUUAAGCCCAGUAAGUUCACCCAAGUAUUUUUUUUGGGGGGGGGGGGGGUAGUAGGGCUCCAGCCAUAGGGCUGGGGCCGUGGCCUCGGAAGCUGCUCUGCCAUGGCCUCCCGAGUCUCCUGAUCCACCAUGGCCUCCCAUGUCUCCUGAUCUGCCAUGGCCUCCUUUCUUGCCCUUAUUUGGUCCUUCCUGUUCCUGUCCUCAUUGUUUCAUUAUUAGGUUAAGUUCCAGCUGUGUUAUUAAUUAUCUUGUUUAGUCCUUAUAUUUAAGCCCUACAGUAUGUUUCCCUGUUUCUAGCAUCUGCUGUUAAAUGUCAUCUCCCCCUACACUCCGUGUGAUUUCCUCAUUGGCAUUGAUUAAAGACUUUGAUAAAGUAAUUCUCCUGCACCUCCUCGCUCCUGUGUAUCGUGACAGAUACACUACCCUUCAACCUACCAUACACUACCCCAAAUUUUUUUCAAAGAAAUUAAUACUUUUAUUUAGCAAAGACACAUAAAUUUUCACAAAAUAUUUAUUUUUCCACAUCAGUAUAUGCUGUUCAUUUGAAUUUUCUAUUCAUCAAAGAAGAAUGAAUAAUGGUUCCCAUAAAAUAUUAAUCAGCAAAAGCUGUUUUCAACAUAAUAAUGUAAUGAGAACCAUUAUUAAUAAUUGAGCACCGAUAACAAUUGACAAUGAUUGAGCACCAAAUCAGCAUAUUAGAAUGAUUUCUGAAGGAUCAUGUGACACUAAAGACUGGAUUUUAUUUUGAACAAAUAAAAUAAAUAGAAAACAGUUCUCUUUCAGUCGGUCACGUCAGUGACUGACGAAUUGGGAUCUAGCUUAGAGAGACCAAUCUACUUUGAGUGUAAACUAAAUGAGCCAAUGCACAUUGGCAUGCGAUUAUUGCAUCCAGAUGCCGCUGAUCACAGCGUGAGCAUAAAAAGGCAGCAGGUGCAAUGCAUACCAGCUUUUCGCUUUGGAGCAAAGUGACAAAAUCAUUCUGCUCCUACCAAACUGCUUCAUGUGUGACGAAUUCAGCAGGCUCUAGGCAGAUUCUUGUGUUUGCGGAUGGUGCUUCAGCUGUGGUCAUUCCUGUGUUGAGUGGAUUGCGCACUUCAGGCUGCAUUAUCGUGCUGCAAAUGGCCAUAUCCCCUGUGCGUCUCAGCACCUAAAAGAGCAUUUUCCUGAAAGAGUCUAUUUCUCUAAAAGAGCUUACAUGGGUUUGUCUUUGUAAAGAUGACGGAUCGUUUCACUCGUGAGUUUCUGGAAGCGGUUGUUACCUGGCACCUGGUGAUGGUCAUGAUCACUGUCUCACGUGUCGGGGCAUUAAACACGUUAAGGUGGUGUUUGCGGAUGAGUCAUGUUCCCAUUGUGGAAAGAUGGCCAUCUCGCCGAAGGGCAAGGCUCUGUUUCCUCUGGGGGCUGGGGUGGGGGGGUUCCGUUGCCUCUGCCUCUCCUGCAAUCUAGUGCUCGUCCUGGCAGCUGCCAGACGACGGCUACUUCCUGCAGUAGCAUGGGUGGUUUGAGGGUUACAGUGGUGGAAAACCCCUCAGGGAACCAACCCUUGAGAGACCAUUCAAAGAGCAUACCAACGAUAUCCUCCGGUGCUCCUCCCAACGAACGGAUGUCGAUCACUGCAUCAGAGGGCGGUGGCAGGGCCUGAAUCGGAUUCAGAGAUUUUGGCUAUGCUUUCCUUGGCCGCCGAGAAGGUUGGGCUCAAAUGGAAACCUCCACCACAUCCCGAGCCCUCGAGGUUGGACGACUGCUUUGUCGGGGUGACUCGCACUGGUUCUCAGCGCCCUGCCUCGGUGCCUUUCUUCCUGGAGGUGCAUGAGGAGCUCACUAGGUCAUGGACUGCACCUUUUACUGCCAGAAACCGAUCUGCUGGUUCCUCCUCCUCCCUCACCACCCUCAAUGGUGGGGUCCCCCCAGUGGAGCGGUCGGUUGCAACCGUGUCUCCUCUCCUGUGUCUUUAGGUACUCAUCUUGCCUGUCCAACGAUGCUUAUAUUGCCUUUGGAGAAGCUGUCUCCGCCUUACAUGCUACAGCGUUACUGUAGGUUAAUUGGGGCAAGGCACAAGGUCCUGCACAAGGGUGGUCAUGAUCUGUAAGUUC